UGCGUAGGUGGCGCGUUAAGUGAGGCGUUAAAUCGUGUGGCUCAACCAUAUCGAUGCGUCUCAUACUGGCGUGCUAGAGGACGGCAGAGGCAAGUGGAAUUUGUAGUGUAGCAGUGAAAUGCGUAGAUAUUACAAGGAACACCAAUGGCGAAGGCAGCUUGCUGGGCCACUCCUGACACUGAGGUACGAAAGCGUGGGGAGCGAACAGGAUUAGAUACCCUGGUAGUCCACGCCGUAACGAUGCAUACUAGACGUAUGGGGUAUCGACCCCCUGUGCGUCGAAGCUAACGCGAUAAGUAUGCCGCCUGGAAGUACGGCCGCAAGGCUAA
RNAcentral lists this ribosomal RNA (329 nucleotides) under uncultured bacterium. RNAcentral's name for it is "bacterial SSU rRNA". It matches the Rfam family "Bacterial small subunit ribosomal RNA", at positions 568 to 897 of the family's 1533-position model. The record is from RNAcentral.